Molecule: ribosomal RNA, 53 nt
Filed under: Roseibium hamelinense
Lineage: Bacteria; Pseudomonadati; Pseudomonadota; Alphaproteobacteria; Hyphomicrobiales; Stappiaceae
Description: partial 16S ribosomal RNA
Source: RNAcentral
CUGGCUCAGAACGAACGCUGGCGGCAGGCUUAACACAUGCAAGUCGAACGGUC